GGAGUUUGGGCCGUGUCUCAGUCCCAAUAUGGCCGUUCAUCCUCUCAGACCGGCUACUGAUCGUCGCCUUGGUGAGCCGUUACCUCACCAACUAGCUAAUCAGACGCAGACCCAUCUUUAAGUGGUAGCUUAUAUAUAGAGGCCACCUUUAACAGCUCCUUCAUGCAAAAGUGCUGCUUCAUUCGGUAUUAGCAAAUCUUUCGAUCUGUUGUCCCCAUCUCAAAGGCAGGUUGUCUACGCGUUACUCAUCCGUUUGCCACUAGGUUCCAUAAAAGCAAGCUUAAAUAAAACCCCGUUCGACUUGCAUGUGUUAAGCACGCCGCCAGCGUUGUCCUCGAGCCACUGAUCAAACUACU
RNAcentral lists this ribosomal RNA (356 nucleotides) under uncultured Veillonellaceae bacterium. RNAcentral describes it as "partial 16S ribosomal RNA". Lineage: Bacteria; Bacillati; Bacillota; Negativicutes; Veillonellales; Veillonellaceae. The record is from RNAcentral.